Molecule: ribosomal RNA, 1349 nt
Filed under: Salmonella enterica subsp. enterica serovar Mbandaka
Lineage: Bacteria; Pseudomonadati; Pseudomonadota; Gammaproteobacteria; Enterobacterales; Enterobacteriaceae
Description: bacterial LSU rRNA
Rfam family: Bacterial large subunit ribosomal RNA
Source: RNAcentral
GGGUUGUGAGGUUAAGCGACUAAGCGUACACGGUGGAUGCCCUGGCAGUCAGAGGCGAUGAAGGGCGUGCUAAUCUGCGAUAAGCGCCGGUAAGGUGAUAUGAACCGUUAUAACCGGCGAUACCCGAAUGGGGAAACCCAGUGUGAUUCGUCACACUAUCAUUAACUGAAUCCAUAGGUUAAUGAGGCGAACCGGGGGAACUGAAACAUCUAAGUACCCCGAGGAAAAGAAAUCAACCGAGAUUCCCCCAGUAGCGGCGAGCGAACGGGGAGGAGCCCAGAGCCUGAAUCAGCAUGUGUGUUAGUGGAAGCGUCUGGAAAGGCGCGCGAUACAGGGUGACAGCCCCGUACACAAAAGCGCAUGUGCUGUGAGCUCGAUGAGUAGGGCGGGACACGUGGUAUCCUGUCUGAAUAUGGGGGGACCAUCCUCCAAGGCUAAAUACUCCUGACUGACCGAUAGUGAACCAGUACCGUGAGGGAAAGGCGAAAAGAACCCCGGCGAGGGGAGUGAAAAAGAACCUGAAACCGUGUACGUACAAGCAGUGGGAGCACAGGUUUACCUGUGUGACUGCGUACCUUUUGUAUAAUGGGUCAGCGACUUAUAUUCUGUAGCAAGGUUAACCGUAUAGGGGAGCCGUAGGGAAACCGAGUCUUAACCGGGCGUUAAGUUGCAGGGUAUAGACCCGAAACCCGGUGAUCUAGCCAUGGGCAGGUUGAAGGUUGGGUAACACUAACUGGAGGACCGAACCGACUAAUGUUGAAAAAUUAGCGGAUGACCUGUGGCUGGGGGUGAAAGGCCAAUCAAACCGGGAGAUAGCUGGUUCUCCCCGAAAGCUAUUUAGGUAGCGCCUCGUGAAUUCAUCUCCGGGGGUAGAGCACUGUUUCGGCUAGGGGGCCAUCCCGGCUUACCAACCCGAUGCAAACUGCGAAUACCGGAGAAUGUUAUCACGGGAGACACACGGCGGGUGCUAACGUCCGUCGUGAAGAGGGAAACAACCCAGACCGCCAGCUAAGGUCCCAAAGUCAUGGUUAAGUGGGAAACGAUGUGGGAAGGCCCAGACAGCCAGGAUGUUGGCUUAGAAGCAGCCAUCAUUUAAAGAAAGCGUAAUAGCUCACUGGUCGAGUCGGCCUGCGCGGAAGAUGUAACGGGGCUAAACCAUGCACCGAAGCUGCGGCAGCGACGCUGAUGCGUUGUUGGGUAGGGGAGCGUUCUGUAAGCCUGCGAAGGUGGCCUGUGAGGGUUGCUGGAGGUAUCAGAAGUGCGAAUGCUGACAUAAGUAACGAUAAAGCGGGUGAAAAGCCCGCUCGCCGGAAGACCAAGGGUUCCUGUCCAACGUUAAUCGGGGCAGG